UUAUUUGGGUGGGGGUUUAUUGCUCAUAUCUGUUGCUCUUGUGGUGUCUCGAAUUUAAGUGAUAAACCCUUCCCUAAAUAAAAUUCCUAUUCCAAAUAGGAGCGAGAUAAACUUUAUAUUUAAAACCCACUCUUGAACGUAUAAAAUUUAUGUAUUAAUGAUAAAAUUAACGA
Molecule: unclassified non-coding RNA, 173 nt
Filed under: uncultured Glomerales
Lineage: Eukaryota; Fungi; Glomeromycota; Glomeromycetes; Glomerales; Glomeraceae
Description: sequence contains ITS1
Source: RNAcentral